Molecule: ribosomal RNA, 1464 nt
Filed under: uncultured bacterium
Lineage: Bacteria
Description: bacterial SSU rRNA
Rfam family: Bacterial small subunit ribosomal RNA
Source: RNAcentral
GGAUGAACGCUGGCGGCGUGCCUAAUACAUGCAAGUCGAGCGGCAGCGAGUUCCUCACCGAGGUUCGGAACCGUUUACCGAUUAGCCAUUAGCGAUGACCUAUGGAUUACCAAUUAGCAAUGAGCGAUUAACCCCGCCGAAAUUGCCAAUUGAUAAUUGCUCAUUCAUUGCCAAUUGCCAAUUGAUAAACGAUAAUUUCCGAAGUUCAGUGAGGAAUGUCGGCGAGCGGCGGACGGCUGAGUAACGCGUAGGAACGUACCCCAAACUGAGGGAUAAGCACCAGAAAUGGUGUCUAAUACCGCAUGUGAUCUCCGGAUUAAAGCUUCGGCGGUUUGGGAACGGCCUGCGUACGAUUAGCUAGUUGGUGAGGUAAUGGCUCACCAAGGCGAUGAUCGUUAGCUGGUCUGAGAGGAUGAUCAGCCAGACUGGGACUGAGAACGGCCCAGACUCCUACGGGAGGCAGCAGUAGGGAAUUUUCCACAAUGGGGGCAACCCUGAUGGAGCAACGCCGCGUGCAGGAUGAAUGCCUUCGGGUUGUAAACUGCUUUUAUAUGUGACGAAUAUGACGGUAGCAUAUGAAUAAGGAUCGGCUAACUCCGUGCCAGCAGCCGCGGUCAUACGGAGGAUCCAAGCGUUAUCCGGAAUUACUGGGCGUAAAGAGUUGCGUAGGUGGCAGAGUAUGUCUGUAGUGAAAGCGUGUGGCUCAACCAUAUACACAUUNNNNNAACUGCUCAGCUAGAGGGCGAGAGAGGUAACUAGAAUUCCUUGUGUAGGAGUGGAANCCGUAGAUAUAAGNNGGAAUACCGAUGGCGUAGGCAGGUUACUGGCUCGUCCCUGACACUAAGGCACGAAAGCGUGGGGAGCAAACGGGAUUAGAUACCCCGGUAGUCCACGCCGUAAACGAUGAAUGCUAGCUGUGAGAGGUAUCGACCCCCCUCGUAGCGAAGCUAACGCGUUAAGCAUUCCGCCUGUGGAGUACGGUCGCAAGACUAAAACAUAAAGGAAUUGACGGGGACCCGCACAAGCGGUGGAGCGUGUUGUUUAAUUCGAUGGUACACGAAGAACCUUACCCGGGUUUGACAUGCAAGUGGUAGUGAUCCGAAAGGUGAACGACCCGCAAGGGAGCUUGCACAGGUGUUGCAUGGCUGUCGUCAGCUCGUGUCGUGAGAUGUUCGGUUAAGUCCGCUAACGAGCGCAACCCUCGCUGUAUGUUACAUGUGUCAUACAGGACCGCCGGUAUCAAGCCGGAGGAAGGUGGGGAUGACGUCAAGUCCGCAUGGCCUUUAUGUCCGGGGCUACACACACGCUACAAUGGUCGGUACAAUGGGUUGCUAAGCCGCGAGGUGGAGCCAAUCCCCCAAAGCCGGCCUCAGUACAGAUUGCAGGCUGCAACUCGCCUGCAUGAAGCUGGAGUUGCUAGUAAACGCGCGUCAGCUAUAGUGCGUUGAAUACGUUCUCGGGCCU